RNAcentral lists this ribosomal RNA (654 nucleotides) under uncultured methanogenic archaeon. Its description in RNAcentral is "bacterial SSU rRNA". It matches the Rfam family "Archaeal small subunit ribosomal RNA", at positions 156 to 807 of the family's 1478-position model. The record is from RNAcentral. Lineage: Archaea; Methanobacteriati; Methanobacteriota.
ACUGUCAGUAUGUGCUGGAAUGCUUUGUGCGUAAAACGGAUUCCUCCGCCCAAGGAUGGGUCUGCGGCCUAUCAGGUAGUAGUGGGUGUAAUGUACCUACUAGCCAACAACGGGUACGGGUUGUGAGAGCAAGAGCCCGGAGAUGGAUUCUGAGACAUGAAUCCAGGCCCUACGGGGCGCAGCAGGCGCGAAAACUUUACAAUGCGGGAAACCGUGAUAAGGGAACACCGAGUGCCAGCAUCAUAUGCUGGCUGUCCAGAUGUGUAAACUACAUCUGUUAGCAAGGGCCGGGCAAGACCGGUGCCAGCCGCCGCGGUAACACCGGCGGCCCGAGUGGUGACCGUUAUUAUUGGGUCUAAAGGGUCCGUAGCCGGUUUGGUCAGUCCUCCGGGAAAUCUGAUAGCUUAACUGUUAGGCUUUCGGGGGAUACUGCCAGGCUUGGAACCGGGAGAGGUAAGAGGUACUACAGGGGUAGGAGUGAAAUCUUGUAAUCUUCUGUGGGACCACCUGUGGCGAAGGCGUCUUACCAGAACAGGUUCGACGGUGAGGGACGAAAGCUGGGGGCACGAACCGGAUUAGAUACCCGGGUAGUCCCAGCCGUAAACGAUGCUCGCUAGGUGUCAGGCAUGGCGCGACCGUGUCUGGUGCCGCAGG